GGCCCCGAGUGGACACAGAGGAGGCCACAGAGCAGGAGGAGGCCAUAGGCUUCCUCAGCUGAGGCAGGAAGGGGAGGCCAGGCUCUCUCUGGACCCCCGUGGGUGAAGCUGUGUGAGACGCCUUGAGGGACCCCAGAGGAAGCCCUCCGCUUGCAAAUGCAGCUCAGCCAUUGGGUAUAAGGAACUCCAGGCUGGAACACUGCAUGAUUCAGA
Molecule: long non-coding RNA, 213 nt
Organism: Heterocephalus glaber (naked mole-rat)
Lineage: Eukaryota; Metazoa; Chordata; Mammalia; Rodentia; Bathyergidae
Source: RefSeq, a predicted model, not a curated record